RNAcentral lists this non-coding RNA (27 nucleotides) under Bombyx mori (domestic silkworm). The record is from RNAcentral. Lineage: Eukaryota; Metazoa; Arthropoda; Insecta; Lepidoptera; Bombycidae.
UACAACUGGAAAAACGGCUCGCUAAAA